Molecule: ribosomal RNA, 2667 nt
Filed under: Triticum aestivum (bread wheat)
Lineage: Eukaryota; Viridiplantae; Streptophyta; Magnoliopsida; Poales; Poaceae
Description: partial small subunit ribosomal RNA
Source: RNAcentral
AUGCCUAGUAAGAGAAAAUCCAUCCUGUCGCUCGAUACUCUUCGCCGUCGCCCUCCAUCCUCUUCCGUUCGUCCCCUCGCCGUCGCCGAUUCCAACCUGGCCGGCGAGUGGCGACUGCCACGCCGAAGCCGGGACGCCCCUUCUCGGAUCGAGAUAGAUCAUCUCAGCUGUUCCCGGUCUAAGCCUCCAAGGCGAGAUGUCGUCGACGACGACCACCAAGAGAGCGAGGGUCGUCGUAGCCAUAGGAUCGCUUGGCACGUUGGUGCUACCGGACGAGGUGACGACAGAGGUGCUCCUGCGGCCGCCCGUCAGAUCCAUCCUCCGCUUCCGCGCCGUCUGCCGCUCCUGGGCCGUCGCGCUCUCGUCGGAGGAGUUCUGCAGCCUCCACACGGCCAAAGCCGAGGCGGAGGCCAAGGCGGCGCCGCAACUAAGCUCAUAUUCAUCUCGCCGUCAGCAGCAUAUGACUCCAUCGGGGUGUAUCUGGGCUCGUCAUCGGACUCUAGCAAUGGCCCGCUGUUUACUCUCGACGACGUGCGCGGCGACUUUGCAAUCUUAUCACCUUCGCCGUGCCACGGCCUCACUCUCCUGCACGACCCGGUGGCGCCGGCCUAUUACGUCUUCAACGCGGCCACACGGGCGGUCACCCGGCUGCCGCCUUGCCAGCACGCCAUCUUCUCGACUGCUGGCCUCGGCUUUGACGCCAGCACCAAGGAGUACAAGGUCGUGAGGCUGAGGGUGGCCUGUGGGAAACUGGACGAGAAGCAGAGGAUCGGGUGCGAGGUGUACGUCCUCGGCGGCGAGCAUGGAGAUCGUUGGAGGCCACCUGUUGGUGGUGUGCCAUUCAGGUUCUGCCACUUUAUUCAGACCGCCAUUAUAACAGCAACAUGGACUCAAGGUAAGCUACCACCGAUAUUUGCGGAUGGAUUUCUGCCACCGGUAUUUGCAGACGGAUUUCUGCAUUGGCUUAUUUACCCAAGUGCUGGGCCAAGCGCUGCCGUAUUAUCAUUUUCUCUCAAAGAUGAGACCUUCGUCUGCGUCCGGUCGCCGCCUUUUGAGGAACCACAACCCGAAGUGCACUUGGUGGACCUCGCUGGCCGCUUGUGUAUGGUCCGGGACCUUCGUGCUCAAAACAGUGGUAUGAUGGAGAUCUGGAACUACAGCUCUAGUGAUUGGUCUUUGUUGCAUAGCAUUGAUUUGUCGCGGCACCUUGAAGGAGACUCUUUGUUAGGUCCGCAGAUUAUCAGAGCUAUCGGUUAUUUUGGCGACUGUGGACCGAUGGAAAAGGUGAUCUUGGCAACUUCCAAUGGCAAGGUGAUCACAUAUGACCUGCUGUCUAGGACUCUCGACACCAUUCUUGCAAUACCGGAGACUUCAUUUUAUAAGACCGAUAAGCAGUAUGCUCCUAGAUUCAGUUUAUUCAAAGAGAGUCUUGCUCCGGUACACAAAACCAACGUAGAGAUGGCGUUAUCAUCUCCGCUAACUAAAGUUAUCAAGGAGAUCCUACUCCGACUCCCAGGUGAUUUUGCCACACAGUUCAAACUUGUAAGCAAGCAGUGGCUUAGUUUGAUCGAGAGUGGAAGUUUCAUUCGCUCUUACCAUGCACAUAACAACAUGGACAGGGAGCCAAGAGUCAUGCUUGUCGGCAAGGGGCCAGGAGGAUUGGGUUUCAGCUUUGCUCCCUCGAAGAAAUUGCUUCGCGAUGGUCCUGGCCAAGGCGCAUGGCUUGAUACAAAGGUGGUUUGCUCUAAGCCUUGCCAUGGUAUGAACCUGAUAAGUACUGUGACCGAGGACUAUUUGUACAAUCCUUCCACAGGUUAUCACCAUAACUACCAUGCAGUAGUGUGGCCACACCAACUGCGCCGCCGUGUACUCGCAAUGAAGCAUGGCAAUGUAUGUACACUAGAAGACCACGCUUUCACAGUUGGCAACAAGAAUGCUGGUCUGGGGUUGAACAUGUUGAAACAGGAGCAUGUUGUCGUUCAGAUUUUCUAUCACUUGAAGGACUUCGAAUCUCGACAGUAUUUCCUGACACGCUCAGUCAUUGGACUCAGGUCGAUCCAACACAACCUUCAACCCCAUCUGCCUAUAAAUAGCAUGCCACCUGCCUAUGUAGCAGGAGUUUUAUACUGGAUGAGUGAACCAAGGUUGUUGGAGAUUCAUAAGAGGGUCAUUGUAUCAUUUGACGUCACAAAAAUGAUGUUUGAUCUCGUCCCUUGCCCUUCACCCAUCGCAAUGUGGAGUGACACGAGUCCUUGCCAAGCAUUUGUGAUCGAGCUUGAGGGAACGUUAUGUGCGGUCCUUGCUGAUCCUGUCGCAGAAGAAUUAGAUAUUUGGAAGCUGGAGCAUGGUCGCUGGGACAGAGCAUAUAAACUCUAUUUAAAAGGUUGGUCGGGCUAUUCCCUUGGAGAAAACGUUGUGAUGCCGUUGCUUGUCGACCCCAGAGACGGGAGAAUCUUGCUCAACACGGGAAGAAAACUGGGUCUUUAUGAUCCGGCAAGGCGCACGAUUGAGAACUUGUAUGAUCUUGAUGGGGUGCUGCAGGUAGCAUCUCCAGGGCAAUCUUCACGCCUUGGAAUGAAUCAAGAUGGACACAUUACGAAAGGCGAACAAUCCAAAACAAUAAGGUGUGCAUCAAGGGUGCUCUCUGGCGUAUAUAUAUAUAUAUAA